This 24-nucleotide microRNA is filed under the name Physcomitrium patens. Its description in RNAcentral is "ppt-miR1072". Lineage: Eukaryota; Viridiplantae; Streptophyta; Bryopsida; Funariales; Funariaceae. The record is from miRBase by way of RNAcentral.
UGCAUUGUGUUAUUUGAAGCUUGA